GGAGAGGUGGCCGAGUGGUUGAAGGCGCAGCAUUGGAAAUGCUGUUUAAGUAUAUUCUUAACGAGGGUUCGAAUCCCUCUCUCUCCU
Molecule: transfer RNA, 87 nt
Organism: Galdieria sulphuraria
Lineage: Eukaryota; Rhodophyta; Bangiophyceae; Galdieriales; Galdieriaceae
Rfam family: tRNA
About the family: Transfer RNA (tRNA) molecules are approximately 80 nucleotides in length.
Source: Rfam